This 3048-nucleotide long non-coding RNA is filed under the name Homo sapiens (human). RNAcentral describes it as "STX18 antisense RNA 1 (head to head)". The record is from RNAcentral. Lineage: Eukaryota; Metazoa; Chordata; Mammalia; Primates; Hominidae.
GAAAAAGGUUCCGGCCUCAGCCGGCGCACCUGGCGGAGGAGGAACCUCGCGACGCGCUCUCGGGCAUCGGUUUCUCCCAGCAAAGCUUGGAGGGUUUAGCUGCGCGGAGAGCUCAGCGAGCUCUUCUGUGUCUGUUUGGGGCGUGUGGGCUCCGGGAGCGUGAGGACCGGGAAGCUAGGAGGCUCCUUCCCUUCUGGCGGCUCCCUCACUGAGACCGGGCGGUUUGGUUGCGGGGGAAGUGGAGACGAGCCACCCUUGACCUUUGACUGCAAGAACUCACCUUGAGCAGGAUAGAGGCACGUGGACGGUGACCCUCGGGAUGCAAUAAAUGCUGAGACAGAUCAGGUGUGCAAGGCACAGAGCUAGAGGCCAGAGGCCUUUCUUCUCCAACCUUCAGUCACCUCUUUUUAAAGUGAAGCCAGCAUCCUCCUCGGGGUUUACUGUGAAAAUUAAGUGAGCUGACGCGUGCUGUGUUUUGAUGUUGCUUGGCUCCUACAAACAUUGAGUGGGCCAGACACUGUUCUGAAAAAUACGCAGUCGACUUUUGAACAGCACAGGCUUGAACUGCAUGCGGCCACUAAUACUCGGACUUCCUUCUGCCUCUGCCAUCCCUAAGACAGCAAGACCCACCCCUCCUGCUCCUCAGCCUACUCGAUGUGAUGAUGAUGCAGAGAUUCAGAGAGUCUAAGCAACUUUUCUAAAUCAUCUAGCUGGAAUUCAGUAACUGAGCCAGGAUCUACCCCAGGUCUGUCUGACUCCAAAGCCUGUGUCUUCCAGCACACACUGCUGCUGCCUGGGGAAUGUGGAUAUGAUGUCUGGAGCUCUAGCAACCAUAUCAGACCACAAGGAUGAAUGUACACCCCAGGAAUGGAAGAGAGGAAAGCCAGAAAAAGACUCGGUCCCUGAUGGCUGAAGAGCUACCAUACCUGCCCCUAGAUCUUCUAUUUCUGAUCAUCUUCUAUGCAAGGGGGCUUACCUUGGAGAAUGGCACCACCGUCUCAUCAGUUACUCAAGCCAUGAACCUGCUGCCAUAUUUGAGUCUUUCCCCUCCCUCGGAGCCUACAUCCGACUGCUCAGUGGUGUCUCGUGUCGUCCUUAUUUUGUCACUUGACAAGCAUUGGCUGAGUCCCUGCUGUGUGCCCUGCACUGCACUGGACAUUCAGAGUACAACACAGUCCCUAUAAUCAGGCUCUUGCAAUCCCGAGGGAUCAAGAUGCAAAGAUCGUUGAGUCCAUCAGCCCUACACCCUGCAUCUCCUGCUAUGGGAGCAGAGUGGGAAGGACACCAAGGCUUACAGAGGCUGUGCGCAAUCACGUGGCGUCAGCAGCAGAGCCCCGUGCCCAGGCACCUGGAAAUUGCAUCCAUCCCUGGACUGUGGUGGGUCCAUGGGGCUCAGGGUGGGGAUGGGGCUCCUUCCCGGACUUCACAGGGGUGGGCUCAGCCACCCCCGUGGGCUGUUUCAGCUCCAGCAUUCUCUGGGCCAAGAUUAAACGUUAAUUUGUAAUGGGGUCUGCUGAAGGUAUCUUCGGUUGCAGCCUCGAGGCAGAUUACUCCGGAAUCUCAGUGGAAUGAAUCAGAGGCCUGCUUUUGGCAGUAAGCAUCUGAAGCUUAACCAGGGAAAGAUGACAAUUUAUGCUGCGUCGAAGAGGACGAUAGCUUUCUUGUUUUACUGCCAGAAGAACACCAUGGGGUAGGGAUCUGAAGAUGGAAAACCAACGCUGUGUCGGCUGGAAAACUUUUGUUUUUAUUUAUGAGACUGAUUUGUAUAUGUUAAGGCCAAUUGGUAGAAAUUGGCCCAUUUGCAAAUUGGCAGACAGAGAAAAAUCUUGAUUUAGGACUAAAAGCAACGAAGCUAAGACAAUAAAAAGAGAAUCAUGUUCAUUAAGUUAAAAAAGCAGACUCCUAUUCAAGCUUUUUUUCCCUUAAAUUCUUAACUUCUCUAAUUGCAAAUGAGUUUGAGAUAGUUUACAGAGACGCAAUAUAAUAGGAUAAAAAUAAAUAGAUUAAGAAAUCAGGACAAAGGGAAAAUAAAGAAAGGAUAAUAGAAUAAAGCCAGAGAAAGAUAAUAAACAGAACUAUAUAUGAUACUCUUGGGAACAUUAAAAAUAAUAUUUAAAAAACUUUUAAAUUGAGGUAUAACGUGCAUAUAAGUAAGAAAGUCUUAAGUGUUUAGCUAGCUCAAUGAAGCUUGUGGCCCAAAAUUACCUGAGACAGGUCUCAACCAACUUAGAAAGUUUAUUUUGCCAAGGUUAACAGCCUCAGGAGGUCCUGACGACAUGUGUCCAUGAUGGUCCGGGUACGGCUUGCUUUUAUACAUUUUAGGGAGACAUAAUACAUCAAUCAAUACAUGUAAGAUUUACAUUGGUUUGAUCUGGAAGGAGGGUACAAUUUCAACUGGGAUGGGGGGCACUUCCUGGUCAUAGGUAGAUUUAAAAUGUUUCUACCUGGCAAUUGGUUGAAAGAGUUACUAUCAAUAGAAAGGAAUGUGUGGGUUAUACUAAGGGGUUGCGAAGGCCAAGGCUUUAUCAUGCAGCUGAAGCCUCCAAGUAGCAGGCUUCAGAGAGAAGAGUUUGUAAAUGUUUCUUGUCAGACCUAAGGUCUGUGUUGAUGAUAAUGCUGGAGGGUAGAUGAGGCAGGUCCGAUCCUCUCUUCCAUCGUGUCCUGAACUCGUUUUUCAGGUUGACUCUGGAAUGGCCUUGGCCAAGAGGAGGGGUCCCCAUUCACAUGGUUGAUGGGAGGCCUUAGAAUUUUAGUUUUGGUUUACAGGUUUUACAUGUGUGGCCAACAGGUGACCACCACCAAUAAAGAUAUAGAACCCUUGUAGAUUCUAUUAGGCUUCCCCUUCUCAUCAGCACCUCAGAAGAGGUGGCCACUACUCCAACUUUUCUCACCAUAUAUUAGUUCUGCCUGCUCUUAAGCCUUCAUGUAAAUUGGAUUACAUGGUAAAUACUCCUUUGUAUCUAUCUCCCUUCACUAUUACAUCUGUGAGUUUCACUCACGUUAUUGUAGGCAGCUGUACCCUCCUCUCCCUCACUGCUGCAUAGUACU